RNAcentral lists this ribosomal RNA (469 nucleotides) under Ectomocoris ululans. RNAcentral's name for it is "SSU rRNA". It matches the Rfam family "Eukaryotic small subunit ribosomal RNA", at positions 718 to 1053 of the family's 1831-position model. The record is from RNAcentral. Lineage: Eukaryota; Metazoa; Arthropoda; Insecta; Hemiptera; Reduviidae.
CCUGUCGGUGUAACUGGCAUGUCGCGGCAUGUCCUGUCGGUGGUGAACGGGAUCCCCGGUGCUGUUUAGGCUUAAUUGCCGAAGCAUGUACCGUGUGUGUUUCCGUUUGCCGAUCUCUCCUACUUCGGUGCUCUUAAACGAGUGUCGAAGUAGGCCGACACUAUCACUUUGAACAAAUUAGAGUGCUUAAAGCAGGCUGAAAUAUCUGCCUGAAUAGUGGUGCAUGGAAUGAUAAAAUAGGACCUCGGUUCUAUUUUGUUGGUUUUAGGAAUAUGAGGUAAUGAUCAAUGUGGACUGGCGGGGGCAUUCGUAUUGCGACGUUAGAGGUGAAAUUCUUGGAUCGUCGCAAGACGCACUAGAGCGAAAGCAUUUGCCAAGUAUGUCUUAAUUGAUCAAGAACGAAAGUUAGAGGUUCGAAGGCGAUCAGAUACCGCCCUAGUUCUAACCAUAAACGAUGCCAGCCAGCAAA